AGACCGGAUGGCCGCCGGCAUCCUUCGUUUGAAGGUGCGGGAGGAAAGUCCGAACACCGCAGGGCAGGGUGCUUCGUAACGCGAAGUCCUGGUGACAGGCAGGAAAGUGCCACAGAAAAGAUACCGCCCCGGUUCAACCGGGGUAAGGGUGAAAAGGCGAGGUAAGAGCUCACCAGCACCGGUGGUGACAUCGGUGGCUUGGCAAACCCCACCCGGUGCAAGACCAAAUAGGCUCUAUCCAUCCGUGUGCGGAUAUAGGACGGCCCGUCUGAAGGCAGCUGCCGGGUAGAGCGGGUAGGUCGCUUGAGGUUGCGGGUGACCGCAAUCCUAGAUGAAUGGUCAUCGCUUCCCGUUCGGGGAGAACAGAAUUCGGCUUACAGGUCUGCUCCGGCA
This 393-nucleotide RNase P RNA is filed under the name Deltaproteobacteria bacterium. Its description in RNAcentral is "partial RNase P RNA component class A". It matches the Rfam family "Bacterial RNase P class A". Rfam says of the family: Ribonuclease P (RNase P) is a ubiquitous endoribonuclease, found in archaea, bacteria and eukarya as well as chloroplasts and mitochondria. Its best characterised activity is the generation of mature 5'-ends of tRNAs by cleaving the 5'-leader elements of precursor-tRNAs. Lineage: Bacteria; Pseudomonadati; Myxococcota; Myxococcia. The record is from RNAcentral.